Molecule: non-coding RNA, 109 nt
Organism: Acanthosepion pharaonis
Lineage: Eukaryota; Metazoa; Mollusca; Cephalopoda; Sepiida; Sepiidae
Source: the annotation of a GenBank genome assembly
GCCAUAUGACGUUGAAAACAUCGGUUCCCGUACGAUCACCGAAGUUAAGCAACGUCGAGCCUUGUCAGUACCAAGAUGGUUGACUGCUUUGUAAUAUCCGAGGCUGUAA